CUGGCUCAGGAUGAACGCUAGCGGCAGGCUUAACACAUGCAAGUCGAGGGGCAUCGGGAGUAGCAAUACUGCCGGCGACCGGCGCAAGGGUGCGUAACGCGUGAGCAACAUGCCCGUAUCAGGGGGAUAAUCCAUGGAAACGUGGUCUAAUACCCCAUAGUAAUUAUGUAAGGCAUCUUAUAUAAUUUAAAGCUUUGGUGGAUACGGAUUGGCUCGCGUGACAUUAGCUGGAUGGUAAGGUAACGGCUUACCAUGGCUACGAUGUCUAGGGGUUCUGAGAGGAAGGUCCCCCACACUGGAACUGAGACACGGUCCAGACUCCUACGGGAGGCAGCAGUGAGGAAUAUUGGACAAUGGAUGGAAAUCUGAUCCAGCCAUGCCGCGUGCCAGGAAGACGGCCCUAUGGGUUGUAAACUUCUUUUGUAUGGGAGCAAUAAGGCCUACGAGUAGGCUGAUGAGAGUACCAUACGAAUAAGCACCGGCUAACUCCGUGCCAGCAGCCGC
Molecule: ribosomal RNA, 504 nt
Filed under: uncultured bacterium
Lineage: Bacteria
Description: bacterial SSU rRNA
Rfam family: Bacterial small subunit ribosomal RNA
Source: RNAcentral